UACGUAGGUGGCAAGCGUUGUCCGGAUUUACUGGGCGUAAAGGGAGCGUAGGUGGAUAUUUAAGUGGGAUGUGAAAUACUCGGGCUUAACCUGGGUGCUGCAUUCCAAACUGGAUAUCUAGAGUGCAGGAGAGGAAAGGAGAAUUCCUAGUGUAGCGGUGAAAUGCGUAGGGAUUAGGAAGAAUACCAGUGGCGAAGGCGGCUUUCUGGACUGUAACUGACGCUGAGGCUCGAAAGCCAGGGGAGCGAACGGG
This 253-nucleotide ribosomal RNA is filed under the name uncultured microorganism. RNAcentral describes it as "partial small subunit ribosomal RNA". It matches the Rfam family "Bacterial small subunit ribosomal RNA", at positions 524 to 776 of the family's 1533-position model. The record is from RNAcentral.